Molecule: ribosomal RNA, 1032 nt
Filed under: Gordonia terrae C-6
Lineage: Bacteria; Bacillati; Actinomycetota; Actinomycetes; Mycobacteriales; Gordoniaceae
Description: bacterial SSU rRNA
Rfam family: Bacterial small subunit ribosomal RNA
Source: RNAcentral
GGCAGCAGUGGGGAAUAUUGCACAAUGGGCGCAAGCCUGAUGCAGCGACGCCGCGUGAGGGAUGACGGCCUUCGGGUUGUAAACCUCUUUCACCAGGGACGAAGCGUGAGUGACGGUACCUGGAGAAGAAGCACCGGCCAACUACGUGCCAGCAGCCGCGGUAAUACGUAGGGUGCGAGCGUUGUCCGGAAUUACUGGGCGUAAAGAGCUCGUAGGCGGUUUGUCGCGUCGUCUGUGAAAUUCUGCAACUCAAUUGUAGGCGUGCAGGCGAUACGGGCAGACUUGAGUACUACAGGGGAGACUGGAAUUCCUGGUGUAGCGGUGAAAUGCGCAGAUAUCAGGAGGAACACCGGUGGCGAAGGCGGGUCUCUGGGUAGUAACUGACGCUGAGGAGCGAAAGCGUGGGUAGCGAACAGGAUUAGAUACCCUGGUAGUCCACGCCGUAAACGGUGGGUACUAGGUGUGGGUUCCUUUUCACGGGAUCCGUGCCGUAGCUAACGCAUUAAGUACCCCGCCUGGGGAGUACGGCCGCAAGGCUAAAACUCAAAGGAAUUGACGGGGGCCCGCACAAGCGGCGGAGCAUGUGGAUUAAUUCGAUGCAACGCGAAGAACCUUACCUGGGUUUGACAUACACCAGACGCGGCUAGAGAUAGUCGUUCCCUUGUGGUUGGUGUACAGGUGGUGCAUGGCUGUCGUCAGCUCGUGUCGUGAGAUGUUGGGUUAAGUCCCGCAACGAGCGCAACCCUUGUCCUGUAUUGCCAGCGGGUUAUGCCGGGGACUUGCAGGAGACUGCCGGGGUCAACUCGGAGGAAGGUGGGGAUGACGUCAAGUCAUCAUGCCCCUUAUGUCCAGGGCUUCACACAUGCUACAAUGGCUGGUACAGAGGGCUGCGAUACCGUGAGGUGGAGCGAAUCCCUUAAAGCCAGUCUCAGUUCGGAUUGGGGUCUGCAACUCGACCCCAUGAAGUCGGAGUCGCUAGUAAUCGCAGAUCAGCAACGCUGCGGUGAAUACGUUCCCGGGCCUUGUACACAC